CAUGAUUAUUCUAUAUAGGAAGUUUUUGCAUUUAAAAUGAAUCAUUAGCUAUGUUCCUUUUAUUUUCAUUUCUUUUUUAUUUAAUCUCCAAACAUUCUGGAAUUUCACAAAUUAGGUUCUGGAAUGUUUAGCCCAGGGUUCAGUUUAGAUCUGUUGAAACAUAGAUUUUGACGAGUUAAGAUAUAUAAAUGAUUUUUCUUCCAAAGGAUGAGUGUUUGCGGUCUAGUAAUAUAUUUUUUAGACACAAACUACUUGAAAUCAGAUUGUUUGAGAAUGAGGAAGUACAGCACCAAGUGUUUCUGAGAGUCAGGGCAGCUCUGCUGUUCCCUCCCUCACCCAGCUCUGUGCCUCAAUGAUGACCCAGUCUAAGGAACAUCUGCUCUAAAUGUGUGAUAGCAUGGGACUGAACGUGUCUUGCUCCACAAAGAAAGCAAACAGUGUUGACAUUGGGAGUCUUGCCUGUGCUGGUAUGGAUAUAUUGUGAGAUGAUGAGAGGAGGAAAUAAUGAUCAUGCUCAAGUUCAAUGCUGGAAUUGCAGAGCUGUUUUAAAAAAAAGGAAGGAAAACAAACACACGCACACAACCUGGCAUAUUCUGUGGCUACUGCAAUCUUUGCUCCUUCUUUGAAAAGAUUCCCACCUUCACUGUUGCCCUGAUCUUUGCCAUGGUGGUGCUUCUCCUGAUCUGUAUAAACAGGAUAUUGGGUAAGUGGUAACUGGGAGGAAUAGGUAACAAGAGAGAUUCCAAAGCUACAUGUGGUGGGGAGGGCAGUGGUCUAUAGGAAAUCCGUUGAGAAGAUCCACUCCCUAACACCAUGUUCCUGCUUUGGUUCUGGAAAUUUCACCAUUGGCCUUUCGUUCUUUUUAGUUAAGUGGUCUUCUCAAGACUCCUCUUUGGGAGUGAGAGUCCACCACUGGGGGUUGUACUGUAUGUUUAUAAUGCCUUGGUAUGCUUUCCUU
This 958-nucleotide long non-coding RNA is filed under the name Macaca mulatta (Rhesus monkey). RNAcentral's name for it is "lncRNA (ENSMMUG00000055582.1)". The record is from RNAcentral. Lineage: Eukaryota; Metazoa; Chordata; Mammalia; Primates; Cercopithecidae.